GUUGACCAAACUUAGAGAACGAAAAAAGACUGGAUGUAUUAAUACAACUCCAAGCAAAGUUUUUGAAGAUCUCUGACGCUAAGCGAGUAAUGCAAGUGCUCCAAGAUCACGCUGCUAAGACAGUCAUACUGAAUCCACAUCAUCCAUCUUUCAUGACUCCCCAAGGUUUGCAUCAGUGCAAUUAUGAUAAAAUCUGGGAGAAUAUUUAUAGCAACAUCAACCUCUACCAGGUAAAACAUUAAGAAAUAACCAAUAUGCCUUUCUGUUCAACCUGGCAUCUGUGUACAGCUCUUAGAAAUGUACUUCAGAAAAAAAAGCAAGAAAUGUACUUUGAUAGAAAGAAAUAUGAAAUGGGAAGAAAAGGUCCAAAGGGGACGAGGUCUGGGAGGGGUGGGGGAAAGGAAAUAAGGGAAAGGAAAAAAUAUGAGAAAAGGAAAAAAAUGGAAACAAAGUCUUUGUAAAUAGGGAGGGGUGGAGGUGUUGAAGGGAGGGCAGGAGAAUGGGGAAAAAAAUAAGAACCAAAAUAUAUCAUGUAAAGGUACAAAUUCCCAAUGAUGAAUGUCAUCAUAUUGUAUACCUAAAAUGUACCAAUAAAAUUAAUGAAUAAUUUAAAAAUGGUAUAUCUAUACUGCAGAAUACCACUCAGUAAUAAAAAGGAAUGACUUUGAUGCAAAGAAAAAAAAAAGCAUGAUGAUGAACCAGGGGUAUAUUAGGUGAUAACUCCAAAUCCAGCUCAGGUGCGUGAAGAUUCAUGUGGAAAUAUAGUGGAGAGAAAUUGUGCUUUAUUUGGGGAGGUGGUAGUACAAGUGAAUACCUAUAAGUUCUGGACAAAGAAAUUUGUGCUUUAUCCUGCAAGGGAGGUGACAUAUGCAUAUACAUUUUUUUAAAAAGAAAACUAGGAUGAUGAAUUAAAAGAGGGAAUGACUGAAGCCAAUUAGGCAGCUGCUGCACAGGGUAGGCAUGGAGCUUGGCAGUUAAAGGAAGUUUUUACACAAAGCUGGGAGAUAUUUAUCUUUACAAUGAUAACGUGCUUUUGAGGCUGUACUAUGCUAUUCUUUGUUUGUUGCUGUAAGGGG
Molecule: long non-coding RNA, 1076 nt
Filed under: Heterocephalus glaber (naked mole-rat)
Lineage: Eukaryota; Metazoa; Chordata; Mammalia; Rodentia; Bathyergidae
Description: lncRNA (ENSHGLG00100042539.1)
Source: RNAcentral